GGCCCCAGUCUGAGAGGCACCGGCAGCCUCCGUCGCGGGGUGGCUGGGACCGAGUCGGGGGGAGUGGGCCGCUCCAGCCCGUCCGUGCCUGGCCUGGCGGAGUGGCCCUAGGAAGGCCCAGGAGGACUGAGCCCUCCACGGCAGCCCGGGAGAGCCCUCCAGAAACCCAACAGCCGGGCCGGGGACGGGACGGGCGUCCAGGAAAGCAGGGCACCCUCGGCCCAGGGCGAGAGGCCGCAGCCUGAGGAGGGGUGUGGGGCAGCAGGGGAGGAGACCCCGCUUCAGAGAUGAGGAGCCCGGGGUAGGGGCGGAGGAUGCUGUGUAGGAAAAGGGCGGGAAGGAGGAUUUGGCACAGGGCUCUGCUGCCUGGUCUCAAUUUACUCGUGAGGAGCCUCCUAAUAGCUGGGUGAGAGCCGCGCACGCUUUCCUGAGAGCCUGCUAAGUGUUUAUGGAAUGAUUUGUGAGGAGAAGUUUCUUUGGAAGCAGCUUGGGGAAGGUAUGUUAUUAAGAACUCUUUCUCCAAGUUCCCUUUGGCCCGCUCCCCCUCCCCCCCGCCAGGCCCCUGGGGUCUGGGCAGCCCAUGGUCACAGCAGCUGUUUGCUAUUUUGUAGGCCAUGAGGCCAGGGAGCAUACUGGGGCUGGGGGAAGAUGGGGGAGUGGGGGCGAUUUUCUCCUCCCCGAGGUGGUAUAAUGCAGAGGAGGAGCACUGGAGCUGGAGUCAGGAGCCUGCCUCUGAGGGGGACGGCCCCAGCCCCAGCAGAGCACGGCGUCGGUCACAGGGACUUGGAGGAGGGAGGACGGCAGGGUCGGAGGCAGCCGAGAGGCCUCGAGUGACGUGCACCGAGCGUGGCCAUUGGCUCUGGUACGUGGACGUCACCAGAGAGUGACGCGGCCAGCUCAGGAGGAGGGGUUCCGUGUUUGCCUUUUGCACCAGGCCGGGAGCUCCCUGGGGCAGGGGCUGUUUGGCUCCUCUUGGUGGCCCCAGCGUCGUCAGACACGCGGGGCUGGCCCAGAGCAGGGGCCCUGCGCGGGCUCGGCGCGGGCAGCGCCUGGGAGGGCCGCCGUGUGGCUGCUCUCGCUCACCAACCCGCCGUCCCACCCAGCCACGGGGAAGGGGCUCAGCCUGUCCAGGGAGCUCAGGAGUCACGCAGCGCUCCUAGCAAGGUGCCAACGACCGGCCAUUUCUGAUUCUCUGAGACCCCUGGCGGGACAUGGGGCCUACCACGGUCUUUAUCCCAGUGGAUCUUCACAACAGCCUCGAGAGGUCAGGCUUCUUACCUCCUCCGAAGCUGUAACUGAGGAAACUUAAGCCCGGAGAGUGAAGUCUUCUUCUGAGGUCACACAGUAAGUACCUGCCCAGGUAGGGCUCACACUCAGGUGUUCAAGGCCAAAGCACAUGCUCUGACCUGUAAGCCAUGCUGCCUGAAGGCACUCACCUGUCAUCUCACUAAGUGCCCUGCAUUGGCAGUGACUUGAUGUCAGCCCGUCUGUCCCCACUUACCUGGGAGCUCCCUAAGACAAGGUAUCAGGUUGGCUUCGCCCCAGGCCCUUAGGUCCCAGCACUGGACCUGGCACAGAGGAGAUGGAUAGAUGGAAUGGAUGGAUGGAUGGAUGGAUGGAUGGAUGGAUGGAUGGAUGGAUGGAUGGAUGGAUGGACGGACAGGUGGAUGGCUAAACUCUGGGUCAGAAUUUGGGAGCUAGAAUUCCAGGUAGAAGGAGCUCCAUGUGCAAAUUAGCAAAGCACAUAGCAUGGGGGUGGCCUGCGUGGGGUGCAGGGGUGUGUGUUUGGGGCAGUGGGUCUCAACUGGUGCCAAGUACCAAGCCAAGAAGCUGUGCUGGAAAUCUGUG
RNAcentral lists this long non-coding RNA (1848 nucleotides) under Dasypus novemcinctus (nine-banded armadillo). RNAcentral describes it as "lncRNA (ENSDNOG00000052169.1)". The record is from RNAcentral. Lineage: Eukaryota; Metazoa; Chordata; Mammalia; Cingulata; Dasypodidae.